Molecule: long non-coding RNA, 936 nt
Filed under: Brassica napus (rape)
Lineage: Eukaryota; Viridiplantae; Streptophyta; Magnoliopsida; Brassicales; Brassicaceae
Description: long non-coding RNA (BNAP_LNC024640)
Source: RNAcentral
UUGUAUAAAAAUCUUUAAAAACAAAAACGAAUUAUAGUUGGAUUUUCCUUUAAAAAAAAUUUAAAGUAAUUUAUUUCUUAUAAAUAACUAACUUUUCUUUUUAAUAGAUAAUUUUGUGUUAAAAAUUAUAAACCAAAAAUAACUUCAAAUAUUUCACCCGAUAUCACCCGAUAUGAUUGUGAAAUUUGUACAAAAAAAAAACAUGGGGAAAUUACAUGUUUACCACUUUCAUGCUAACACUUUUCAUUUAUACCACCACUAAAAAGACAUUUUCAAAAAUAUUUUCUUCAUUAAGUGGCAAAUGACUCUUAUGCCUAUGUUCUUUAUAUAUAUAAUAAAUAAAUAUUUAAAUAAAUAAAAAUCUAAAAAAAUAUAUUUUUUAAUUUUUUUCUGAAUUAUACUAUUUCGAAAUUCAAACUCUAAACCCUAAAACUCAACUCUAAACCCUAAACCAUCAAUCCUAAACCCUAUUUUUUUGAAAUAUGAACCCUAAACCCUAAACCAUCAAUCCUAAACCCUAUUUUUUUUUGAAAUAAACCUUAAGCCCUGAAACAUCAACUCUAAUCUCUAAACCCCGAAACAUCAACUCUAAACCCUAAACCCUAAACCUUCAACUCUAAACCCUAAAACAUCAACUCUAAACCCUAAACCCUAAACCUUCAACUCUAAACCCUAAAACAUCAACUCUAAACCCUAAAAAGUAAACUCUAAACCCUAAACCCUAAAAAUUAACCCUAAACCCUAAAACAUCAACUCUAAACCCUAAACCCUAAACCCUAAACCUUCAACUCUAAACCCUAAACCCUAAAUCCUAAAUCCUAAACCCAAAAACCCUAGAGUUGAUGUUUUACGGUUUAGAUUUGAAGAUUUAGGGUUUAGGGUUUAGAGUUGAUGUUUUAGGGUUUAGAUUUGAUGGUUUAGGGUUUAGGGUUUAGG